Molecule: ribosomal RNA, 770 nt
Filed under: uncultured bacterium
Lineage: Bacteria
Description: bacterial SSU rRNA
Rfam family: Bacterial small subunit ribosomal RNA
Source: RNAcentral
AGAGUUUGAUCAUGGCUCAGAACGAACGCUGGCGGCAUGCCUAACACAUGCAAGUCGCACGCUCACUUGGGUUUCGGCCCUUGUGGGAGUGGCGCACGGGUGAGUAGCGCGUGGGAACCUGCCCUGUUGUGGGGGAUAACCGAGGGAAACUUCGGCUAAUACCGCAUAAGCCGGCUGUCUUGCGAGAGAUGGCCGGGAAAGAUUUAUCGCGACAGGAGGGGCCCGCGUCCGAUUAGCUGGUUGGUGGGGUAACGGCCUACCAAGGCUGCGAUCGGUAGCUGGUCUGAGAGGAUGAUCAGCCACACUGGGACUGAGACACGGCCCAGACUCCUACGGGAGGCAGCAGUGGGGAAUAUUGGACAAUGGGCGCAAGCCUGAUCCAGCAAUGCCGCGUGAGUGAUGAAGGCCUUAGGGUUGUAAAGCUCUUUCGCCCGCGACGAUGAUGACGGUAGCGGGAGAAGAAGCCCCGGCUAACUUCGUGCCAGCAGCCGCGGUAAUACGAAGGGGGCGAGCGUUGUUCGGAAUCACUGGGCGUAAAGGGCGCGUAGGCGGCCCUUCUUGUCGCGUGUGAAAGCCCCGGGCUCAACCUGGGAACGGCGCGCGAGACGGGAGGGCUGGAGUUCGGGAGAGGAGCGUGGAAUUCCCAGUGUAGAGGUGAAAUUCGUAGAUAUUGGGAAGAACACCGGUGGCGAAGGCGGCGCUCUGGACCGAGACUGACGCUGAGGCGCGAAAGCGUGGGGAGCAAACAGGAUUAGAUACCCUAGUAGUCC